AUUUUCCUGGCAAUGAUCAUGAUCUUCUCUCUCAACUCCUCGCUCAGCCUGAGGCUGAAAUGUCCUGCUCCUCCAGGCAGAGGAGACCUGCCCUCCUGAAGCCCUGUGGACGGUGCCACCAGAACAACAAUACUGAGAAUGACAGAGAUGUUCCGCUUUCCCUGUCCGUCACCGGUGGGCAGCCACCUCCCGGAAGCGGAUGAGCCUCCCUCCCACCAAUCACUGGAAGAUCAGUGGUAGCCCCACCCCCCCGACACAGCCGGAGUCGCCCCCCUCGCUUCCUCUCGCCACACAGUCAUUUUAUCGUCUCAAGUCGGCCCGAUGAGGGUAAAGCAGCUGAGCUCAAGAGAGGUUUGAAUAACUUGUUCUAGAUCACACCGCUACUAAGAAGAACCAGGAUCCACACAUUUGUGUAUAAAGUCUCAUAGUGUUUGUUUGUGCCCUGACGGCACGAUGCUCCUCCCCUAAGAGUGGCGGCCGUGUGGGAAAGGCACUGGCCUGGGAGUCGGGAAGCCUCUGGUCCUGCCUGCGUCUGCCCGUAACCUAGGAGUCA
Long non-coding RNA from Neofelis nebulosa (Clouded leopard), 553 nucleotides. RefSeq lists it as uncharacterized. The transcript has 3 exons. Lineage: Eukaryota; Metazoa; Chordata; Mammalia; Carnivora; Felidae. The record is from RefSeq and is a predicted model, not a curated record.